GAUGAAGAACGCAGCGAAAUGCGAUAAGUAAUGUGAAUUGCAGAAUUCAGUGAAUCAUCGAAUCUUUGAACGCACAUUGCGCCCAUUAGCAUUCUAGUGGGCAUGCCUGUUCGAGCGUCAUUUCAACCCUUAAGCCCUGUUGCUUAGCGUUGGGAGCCUACAGUACUGUAGCUCCCCAAAGUUAGUGGCGGAGUCGGUUUCACACUCUAGACGUAGUAAUUUUUUCACGUCUGUAGUUGAGCCGGUCCCCUGCCGUAAAACACCCAAUUUAUCAAGGUUGACCUCGGAUCAGGUAGGAAUACCCGCUGAACUUAAGCAUAUCAAUAAGCGGAGGA
This 335-nucleotide unclassified non-coding RNA is filed under the name soil metagenome. RNAcentral describes it as "partial contains 5.8S ribosomal RNA, internal transcribed spacer 2, and large subunit ribosomal RNA". The stretch from base 1 to 120 matches the Rfam family "5.8S ribosomal RNA", at positions 35 to 154 of the family's 154-position model. The record is from RNAcentral.